This 374-nucleotide ribosomal RNA is filed under the name uncultured organism. RNAcentral describes it as "partial 16S ribosomal RNA". It matches the Rfam family "Bacterial small subunit ribosomal RNA", at positions 526 to 896 of the family's 1533-position model. The record is from RNAcentral.
GUAGGGUGGCAAGCGUUGUCCGGAAUUAUUGGGCGUAAAGCGCGCGCAGGGCGGUUCUUUAAGUCUGAUGUGAAAGCCCACGGCUCAACCGUGGAGGGUCAUUGGAAACUGGGGGACUUGAGUACAGAAGAGGAAAGCGGAAUUCCAAGUGUAGCGGUGAAAUGCGUAGAGAUUUGGAGGAACACCAGUGGCGAAGGCGGCUUUCUGGUCUGUAACUGACGCUGAGGCGCGAAAGCGUGGGGAGCAAACAGGAUUAGAUACCCUGGUAGUCCACGCCGUAAACGAUGAGUGCUAAGUGUUAGGGGGUUUCCGCCCCUUAGUGCUGCAGCUAACGCAUUAAGCACUCCGCCUGGGGAGUACGGCCGCAAAGGCUG